RNAcentral lists this ribosomal RNA (459 nucleotides) under uncultured bacterium. Its description in RNAcentral is "bacterial SSU rRNA". It matches the Rfam family "Bacterial small subunit ribosomal RNA", at positions 342 to 794 of the family's 1533-position model. The record is from RNAcentral.
GUGGAGGCAGCAGUGGGGAAUUUUGCACAAUGGGCGCAAGCCUGAUGCAGCAACGCCGCGUGUGUGAUGAAGGUCUUCGGAUCGUAAAGCACUUUCGACCGGGACGAAACAGCGACACCCAACACGUGUCGCCCUGACGGUACCGGGAGAAGAAGCACCGGCUAACUCUGUGCCAGCAGCCGCGGUAAUACAGAGGGUGCAAGCGUUGUUCGGAAUUAUUGGGCGUAAAGCGCGUGUAGGCGGCUUUGCAAGUCGGGUGUGAAAGCCCUCAGCUCAACUGAGGAAGUGCGCCCGAAACUGCAGAGCUUGAGUACCGGAGAGGAUGGCGGAAUUCCCCAAGUAGAGGUGAAAUUCGUAGAUAUGGGGAGGAACACCGGUGGCGAAGGCGGCCAUCUGGACGGUCACUGACGCUGAGACGCGAAAGCGUGGGUAGCAAACAGGAUUAGAUACCCCGGUAGC